RNAcentral lists this ribosomal RNA (56 nucleotides) under uncultured bacterium. Its description in RNAcentral is "partial 16S ribosomal RNA". The record is from RNAcentral.
CCAGUGGCCAACCGCAAGGAGGGAGCUGUCGAAGGUGGGUAUCGGUGAUUGGGGUG